GAAUAAUGCAGUUGGUAGAGCAUGAGACUCUUAAUCUCAUGGUAAUAGGUUCAAGCCCCACUUUUGGGCA
This is a non-coding RNA of Podarcis lilfordi (Lilford's wall lizard), 70 nucleotides long. The record is from the annotation of a GenBank genome assembly. Lineage: Eukaryota; Metazoa; Chordata; Lepidosauria; Squamata; Lacertidae.